UACACCCAGUAAAAAGUUAUUACGGAUUUUUGAGAGUUUCCCUCGAUUCCUCUGGGAUCUUAUCAUCAGAUCCUGGUUUCCUUAUCACGGUACCAAACUAGGGAUAUCCCCUUUCCAACAAAAAAAGAAUUAUCAAAUUCGGUACAUCCAGUAGAAAGUUAUGCGAAAGUUAUGCGGUAUAAUACAACGUAGGUCGACGAAAAAAGCGUCAAGUAAAAACGCAUUAUUAGAUGUAACUCGAAAA
This 244-nucleotide unclassified non-coding RNA is filed under the name Melitaea cinxia (Glanville fritillary). RNAcentral describes it as "misc RNA ENSMCXG00005007412.1". Lineage: Eukaryota; Metazoa; Arthropoda; Insecta; Lepidoptera; Nymphalidae. The record is from RNAcentral.